AUUGAACGCUGGCGGCAUGCUUUACACAUGCAAGUCGAACGGUAACAGGGAGCUUGCUCCGCUGACGAGUGGCGAACGGGUGAGUAAUAUAUCGGAACGUACCCAAGAGUGGGGGAUAACGUAGCGAAAGUUACGCUAAUACCGCAUACGAUCUAUGGAUGAAAGCAGGGGACCUUCGGGCCUUGUGCUCCUGGAGCGGCCGAUAUCUGAUUAGCUAGUUGGUGAGGUAAAGGCUCGCCAAGGCGACGAUCAGUAGCUGGUCUGAGAGGACGACCAGCCACACUGGAACUGAGACACGGUCCAGACUCCUACGGGAGGCAGCAGUGGGGAAUUUUGGACAAUGGGCGCAAGCCUGAUCCAGCAAUGCCGCGUGAGUGAAGAAGGCCUUCGGGUUGCAAAGCUCUUUUGUCAGGGAAGAAACGGCAGAGGCUAAUAUCCUUUGCUAAUGACGGUACCUGAAGAAUAAGCACCGGCUAACUACGUGCCAGCCGCCGCCGUAA
This 500-nucleotide ribosomal RNA is filed under the name uncultured bacterium. RNAcentral describes it as "partial 16S ribosomal RNA". It matches the Rfam family "Bacterial small subunit ribosomal RNA", at positions 30 to 523 of the family's 1533-position model. The record is from RNAcentral.